Molecule: ribosomal RNA, 1520 nt
Filed under: marine metagenome
Description: bacterial LSU rRNA
Rfam family: Bacterial large subunit ribosomal RNA
Source: RNAcentral
UGUCUGACAUGGGGGGACCACCCUCCAAGCCUAAGUACUCCUCAACGACCGAUAGCGAACAAGUACCGUGAGGGAAAGGUGAAAAGUACCCCGAUGAGGGGAGUGAAACAGACCUGAAACUGAAUGCCUACAAACAGUCGGAGCCAACAUGAUUGGUGACGGCGUACCUUUUGUAUAAUGGGUCAGCGAGUUAGUUUAUUGAGCAAGCUUAAGCCGUUAGGUGUAGGCGUAGCGAAAGCGAGUCUGAAUAGGGCGACUGAGUUCAAUGAAUUAGACCCGAAACCGGGUGAUCUAGCCAUGGGCAGGUUGAAGGUGCGGUAACACGCACUGGAGGACCGAACCCACCGAUGUUGAAAAAUCGGGGGAUGACCUGUGGCUAGGGGUGAAAGGCCAAUCAAACCCGGAUAUAGCUGGUUCUCCGCGAAAACUAUUUAGGUAGUGCGUCGUGUAUUACCACAGGGGGUAGAGCACUGGAUGGGCUAGGGGGGCGCGAGCCUUACCAAACCUAACCAAACUCCGAAUACCUGUGAGUACAGCACGGCAGACAGACCAUGGGUGCUAAGGUCCAUGGUCGAAAGGGAAACAGCCCAGACCAACAGCUAAGGUCCCCAAAUUGUGGCUAAGUGGGAAAGGAUGUGGGAAGGCCAAGACAGCCAGGAGGUUGGCUUAGAAGCAGCCAUCCUUUAAAGAAAGCGUAAUAGCUCACUGGUCUAAACAAGCCAGCCUGCGCCGAAGAUGUACCGGGGCUAAAGCCACAUACCGAAGCUUUGGACUUGCGUAAGCAAGUGGUAGCGGAGCGUUCCGUAAGUCUGUGAAGGUAAAGCGCGAGCUUUGCUGGAGAUAUCGGAAGCGAGAAUGCUGACAUGAGUAGCGAUAAAGAGUGUGAGAAACACUCUCGCCGAAAACCCAAGGGUUCCUGCGCAAGGUUAAUCCACGCAGGGUUAGUCGGCCCCUAAGGCGAGGGCGAAAGCCGUAGUCGAUGGGAACACGGUUAAUAUUCCGUGACCUGAAGAUAGUGACGGAUGCUGUAAGUUGUACAUGCUUAUCGGAUUGUGUGUGCAGCGAAAGUGUCCCAGGAAAUAGCUUCUUCAUUAAGACCGUACCCGAAACCGACACAGGUGGGUAGGUAGAGAAUACCGAGGCGCUUGGGAGAAUGGUGCUGAAGGAACUCGGCAAAUUGCCCCCGUAACUUCGGGAGAAGGGGGACCUCUAUUUGGGCAACCAGAUAGAGGUGGCACAGACUAGGGGGUGGCGACUGUUUAUUAAAAACACAGGGCUCUGCGAAGUGGUAGACACGACGUAUAGGGUCUGACGCCUGCCCGGUGCCGGAAGGUUAAGAGGAGUGGUGCAAGCUGCGAAUCGAAGCCCCGGUAAACGGCGGCCGUAACUAUAACGGUCCUAAGGUAGCGAAAUUCCUUGUCGGGUAAGUUCCGACCUGCACGAAUGGCGUAACGACUUCCCCGCUGUCUCCAGCACCAACUCAGCGAAAUUGAAUUCCCCGUGAAGAUGCGGGGUCCCGC